UACGAAGGGGGCUAGCGUUGUUCGGAAUCACUGGGCGUAAAGCGCACGUAGGCGGAUCCUUAAGUCAGGGGUGAAAUGCCGAGGCUCAACCUCGGAACUGCCUUUGAUACUGGGGAUCUCGAGUCCGGGAGAGGUGAGUGGAAUUGCGAGUGUAGAGGUGAAAUUCGUAGAUAUUCGCAAGAACACCAGUGGCGAAGGCGGCUCACUGGCCCGGUACUGACGCUGAGGUGCGAAAGCGUGGGGAGCAAACGGG
RNAcentral lists this ribosomal RNA (253 nucleotides) under uncultured bacterium. Its description in RNAcentral is "partial 16S ribosomal RNA". It matches the Rfam family "Bacterial small subunit ribosomal RNA", at positions 524 to 776 of the family's 1533-position model. The record is from RNAcentral.